GUGGGGAAUUUUGGACAAUGGGCGCAAGCCUGAUCCAGCAAUGCCGCGUGCAGGAAGAAGGCCUUCGGGUUGUAAACUGCUUUUGUACGGAACGAAACGGUCCUGGCUAAUAUCCGGGGCUAAUGACGGUACCGUAAGAAUAAGCACCGGCUAACUACGUGCCAGCAGCCGCGGUAAUACGUAGGGUGCGAGCGUUAAUCGGAAUUACUGGGCGUAAAGCGUGCGAAGGCGGUGCUGUAAGACAGGCGUGAAAUCCCCGGGCUCAACCUGGGAAUUGCGCUUGUGACUGCAGUGCUGGAGUGCGGCAGAGGGGGAUGGAAUUCCGCGUGUAGCAGUGAAAUGCGUAGAUAUGCGGAGGAACACCGAUGGCGAAGGCAAUCCCCUGGGCCUGCACUGACGCUCAUGCACGAAAGCGUGGGGAGCAAACAGGAUUAGAAACCCGGGUAGUCC
This 450-nucleotide ribosomal RNA is filed under the name uncultured bacterium. RNAcentral describes it as "partial 16S ribosomal RNA". It matches the Rfam family "Bacterial small subunit ribosomal RNA", at positions 354 to 796 of the family's 1533-position model. The record is from RNAcentral.